GUGGGGAAUAUUGGGCAAUGGGCGAAAGCCUGACCCAGCAACGCCGCGUGAAGGAAGAAGGUUUUCGGAUUGUAAACUUCUGUCCUCAGGGAAGAAGGAAGUGACGGUACCUGAGGAGGAAGCCCCGGCUAACUACGUGCCAGCAGCCGCGGUAAUACGUAGGGGGCGAGCGUUGUCCGGAAUGACUGGGCGUAAAGGGCGCGUAGACGGCUGUCUAAGUCUGGAGUGAAAGUCCUGUUUUCAAGGCGGGAAUUGCUUUGGAGACUGGAUGGCUUGAGUGCGGAAGAGGUAAGUGGAAUUCCCAGUGUAGCGGUGAAAUGCGUAGAGAUUGGGAGGAACACCAGUGGCGAAGGCGACUUACUGGGCCGUAACUGACGUUGAAGCGCGAAAGCGUGGGGAGCGAACAGGAUUAGAAACCCGUGUAGUCC
This 428-nucleotide ribosomal RNA is filed under the name uncultured bacterium. RNAcentral describes it as "partial 16S ribosomal RNA". It matches the Rfam family "Bacterial small subunit ribosomal RNA", at positions 354 to 796 of the family's 1533-position model. The record is from RNAcentral.